ACCUCCUCCUUCCGCGUCCCCCGCAGGUACACAAGUGAUGACGUCUGUGACACACGUUUAAUCGUUUACAUCCAUAAUAUACUCAAACGAUAUAUGCGAAACGCCAGUAACUGCAAUUUAAAUCGACAAUAAUAUUUUUUCUACGUCGCCUAUACGAGUAGGUACCUAUAUUUAUGUGAAAGACGAAGAGUAUGUUGACAGUUCUCAUCGUCGCGAAAUUCGAUUUACAUAAUAUUAUAAACACAUUUAACAAAACCGUAAUGCACCUACUCGUAUAUAUUAUUAAAAUAGAGCCAAACACGGGUUUUAUUCAGAAUGAUUAUCAGGUAUU
Cinara cedri is the source of this 331-nucleotide non-coding RNA. Lineage: Eukaryota; Metazoa; Arthropoda; Insecta; Hemiptera; Aphididae. The record is from the annotation of a GenBank genome assembly.